RNAcentral lists this ribosomal RNA (497 nucleotides) under uncultured bacterium. RNAcentral describes it as "partial 16S ribosomal RNA". It matches the Rfam family "Bacterial small subunit ribosomal RNA", at positions 28 to 507 of the family's 1533-position model. The record is from RNAcentral.
GAUGAACGCUGGCGGCGUGCCUAAUACAUGCAAGUCGAGCGAACAGACGAGGAGCUUGCUCCUCUGACGUUAGCGGCGGACGGGUGAGUAACACGUGGAUAACCUACCUAUAAGACUGGGAUAACUUCGGGAAACCGGAGCUAAUACCGGAUAAUAUAUUGAACCGCAUGGUUCAAUAGUGAAAGACGGUUUUGCUGUCACUUAUAGAUGGAUCCGCGCCGCAUUAGCUAGUUGGUAAGGUAACGGCUUACCAAGGCAACGAUGCGUAGCCGACCUGAGAGGGUGAUCGUCCACACUGGAACUGAGACACGGUCCAGACUCCUACGGGAGGCAGCAGUAGGGAAUCUUCCGCAAUGGGCGAAAGCCUGACGGAGCAACGCCGCGUGAGUGAUGAAGGUCUUCGGAUCGUAAAACUCUGUUAUUAGGGAAGAACAAAUGUGUAAGUAACUAUGCACGUCUUGACGGUACCUAAUCAGAAAGCCACGGCUAACUACGUG